RNAcentral lists this long non-coding RNA (499 nucleotides) under Elaeis guineensis (African oil palm). RNAcentral describes it as "long non-coding RNA (EGUI_LNC003779)". Lineage: Eukaryota; Viridiplantae; Streptophyta; Magnoliopsida; Arecales; Arecaceae. The record is from RNAcentral.
ACCCUUGUUUGUUGUGUUGUAGGUCCACAGAGGUAGUCCGCAUCAUUAUUCUAGGAUUGGCAGCAAUUGAUUGACACUGUCUAUCAAAAAUGAAGGAUGAAAAGCCAUGACACUUAGAAAAAGCAACCAUCAAGCAUUUGUUCAGCAUAUUUCAAAUGGCUACUUGCACAGCCCCCAACAUCUCAAACUUUUUAGCCUAUUAUAGGACUUAUCAAUGCUAAAAGAUUUGACUUGCUCACCUAGUAGGUGCAGACCCUAACAACAAUAGUGUAUAACCUACAAUAAUUGGUCAGUAACCCCUAUGCUAGCUAGCCAAACACUAAGAUAUCUCAAUACCAGCUACCAUUGCCUUGAGCACCCUUAGGUAGGACUAGAGGUGCAUGUGACUACCUCUUCUAUAGCACGAGUUUGAAUUUUGAUGACUCUCCUCUGCAUCAACAAUAAAAGGUCUCUAAGUAGGAGGCCGACCUCUACUAUGAGAUCAAGAAGAUGCAUAGCC